UCCUCUCUAGUGCAAUCAAGAGUUGAUUGAAAGAGAGGACAUCAGCCAUCAAAGCUAUCUCUGCAAGGGAGCUAGCACCCCGGUGAGAUAGAGAUCUUGGAUCGGAUCCUGCUUCGUGUGGAUACCCAUAGAGGCCGGACGUUUGAACGGCUUCAAGCGAACCCUCUUCCAAAACCACGAAUUCAGAUUUGCGGUGAUCAUCUACCCGCGCAAGGUGAAGAUUUGAUCUUCCUAAUAAUUUUAAAAGUUUUAAUUCUUACCUAAUUACGAAAGGUCUCGAAACAACGUUCAUGCGAUGAACGUCAAACCCGUGCAUGCCGAUUCCGCUGCCAUCUGAAAAAUUUUUGAAAUAUCAGCGGCAUGGGC
Molecule: long non-coding RNA, 366 nt
Filed under: Phoenix dactylifera (date palm)
Lineage: Eukaryota; Viridiplantae; Streptophyta; Magnoliopsida; Arecales; Arecaceae
Description: long non-coding RNA (PDAC_LNC015025)
Source: RNAcentral